GACGGAGGGCGUAAGCGUUGUUCGGAAUUACUGGGCGUAAAGGGAGCGUAGGCGGACAUUUAAGUCAGAGGUGAAAUCCCGGAGCUUAACUUCGGAACUGCCUUUGAUACUGGAUGUCUUGAGUGUGAGAGAGGUAUGUGGAACUCCGAGUGUAGAGGUGAAAUUCGUAGAUAUUCGGAAGAACACCAGUGGCGAAGGCGACACACUGGCUCACUACUGACGCUGAGGCGCGAAAGCGUGGGGAGCAAACAGG
RNAcentral lists this ribosomal RNA (253 nucleotides) under uncultured bacterium. RNAcentral's name for it is "partial 16S ribosomal RNA". It matches the Rfam family "Bacterial small subunit ribosomal RNA", at positions 524 to 776 of the family's 1533-position model. The record is from RNAcentral.